RNAcentral lists this ribosomal RNA (605 nucleotides) under uncultured Bacteroidota bacterium. RNAcentral describes it as "bacterial SSU rRNA". It matches the Rfam family "Bacterial small subunit ribosomal RNA", at positions 159 to 763 of the family's 1533-position model. Lineage: Bacteria; Pseudomonadati; Bacteroidota. The record is from RNAcentral.
AAGAUUAAUACCCCAUAAUAUAUUGAGUGGCAUCAUUUGAUAUUGAAAACUCCGGUGGAUAGAGAUGGGCACGCGCAAGAUUAGAUAGUUGGUGAGGUAACGGCUCACCAAGUCAAUGAUCUUUAGGGGGCCUGAGAGGGUGAUCCCCCACACUGGUACUGAGACACGGACCAGACUCCUACGGGAGGCAGCAGUGAGGAAUAUUGGACAAUGGGUUAGCGCCUGAUCCAGCCAUCCCGCGUGAAGGACGACGGCCCUAUGGGUUGUAAACUUCUUUUGUAUAGGGAUAAACCUACUCUCGUGAGAGUAGCUGAAGGUACUAUACGAAUAAGCACCGGCUAACUCCGUGCCAGCAGCCGCGGUAAUACGGAGGGUGCAAGCGUUAUCCGGAUUUAUUGGGUUUAAAGGGUCCGUAGGCGGAUCUGUAAGUCAGUGGUGAAAUCUCACAGCUUAACUGUGAAACUGCCAUUGAUACUGCAGGUCUUGAGUAAAUUUGAAGUGGCUGGAAUAAGUAGUGUAGCGGUGAAAUGCAUAGAUAUUACUUAGAACACCAAUUGCGAAGGCAGGUCACUAAGAUUUAACUGACGCUGAUGGACGAAAGCGUG